GUGCACGCUUCGGCGGCACAUAUACUAAAAUUGGAACAAUACAGAGAAGAUUACCAUGGCCCCUGCACAAAAAUGACAUACAAAUUUGUGAAGCAUUCUAUAUUUUU
Molossus molossus (Pallas's mastiff bat) is the source of this 107-nucleotide small nuclear RNA. NCBI's taxonomy places the organism in Eukaryota, Metazoa, Chordata, Mammalia, Chiroptera, Molossidae. The record is from RefSeq and is a predicted model, not a curated record.